RNAcentral lists this ribosomal RNA (301 nucleotides) under uncultured bacterium. RNAcentral describes it as "partial 16S ribosomal RNA". It matches the Rfam family "Bacterial small subunit ribosomal RNA", at positions 509 to 807 of the family's 1533-position model. The record is from RNAcentral.
CAGCAGCCACGGUAAAACGGAGGAUCCAAGCGUUAUCCGGAAUCAUUGGGUUUAAAGGGUCCGUAGGCGGUCUUGUAAGUCAGUGGUGAAAGCCCAUCGCUCAACGGUGGAACGGCCAUUGAUACUGCAGGACUUGAAUUAUUGGGAAGUAACUAGAAUAUGUAGUGUAGCGGUGAAAUGCUUAGAGAUUACAUGGAAUACCAAUUGCGAAGGCAGGUUACUACCAAUUGAUUGACGCUGAUGGACGAAAGCGUGGGUAGCGAACAGGAUUAGAUACCCCCGUAGUCCCUGUCUCUUAUAC